GUUAAGCGACUAAGCGUACACGGUGGAUGCCCUGGCAGUCAGAGGCGAUGAAGGACGUGCUAAUCUGCGAUAAGCGUCGGUAAGGUGAUAUGAACCGUUAUAACCGGCGAUUUCCGAAUGGGGAAACCCAGUGUGAUUCGUCACACUAUCAUUACGUGAAUACAUAGCGUAAUGAAGCGAACCGGGGGAACUGAAACAUCUAAGUACCCCGAGGAAAAGAAAUCAACCGAGAUUCCCCCAGUAGCGGCGAGCGAACGGGGAGCAGCCCAGAGUCUGAAUCAGCUUGUGUGUUAGUGGAACGGUCUGGAAAGUCCGACGGUACAGGGUGAUAGUCCCGUACACCAAAAUGCACAGGUUGUGAACUCGAAGAGUAGGGCGGGACACGUGGUAUCCUGUCUGAAUAUGGGGGGACCAUCCUCCAAGGCUAAAUACUCCUGACUGACCGAUAGUGAACCAGUACCGUGAGGGAAAGGCGAAAAGAACCCCGGCGAGGGGAGUGAAAAAGAACCUGAAACCGUGUACGUACAAGCAGUGGGAGCCUCUUUAUAGGGUGACUGCGUACCUUUUGUAUAAUGGGUCAG
This 581-nucleotide ribosomal RNA is filed under the name Citrobacter freundii. RNAcentral's name for it is "partial 23S ribosomal RNA". It matches the Rfam family "Bacterial large subunit ribosomal RNA", at positions 1 to 623 of the family's 2925-position model. The record is from RNAcentral. Lineage: Bacteria; Pseudomonadati; Pseudomonadota; Gammaproteobacteria; Enterobacterales; Enterobacteriaceae.